Molecule: non-coding RNA, 166 nt
Filed under: Phytophthora infestans T30-4
Lineage: Eukaryota; Oomycota; Peronosporomycetes; Peronosporales; Peronosporaceae
Description: Eukaryotic small subunit ribosomal RNA
Rfam family: Eukaryotic small subunit ribosomal RNA
Source: Rfam by way of RNAcentral
NNNNNNUCUUAGUUGGUGGAGUGAUUUGUCUGGUUAAUUCCGUUAACGAACGAGACCUCCGCGUGCUAAAUAGUUCCGCUUACCAUUUUUGGUAGGUUUGUGGACUUCUUAGAGGGACUUUUGGGUAAUCAAACCAAAGGAAGUUGGAGGCAAUAACAGGUCUGUG